Non-coding RNA from Myodes glareolus (Bank vole), 1166 nucleotides. The record is from RefSeq and is a predicted model, not a curated record. Lineage: Eukaryota; Metazoa; Chordata; Mammalia; Rodentia; Cricetidae.
AGGUGUGUGUGUGUGUGUGUGUGUGUGUGUGUGUACGUGAGUGUGGUGCUAAGACUCAGAAGAACUAAGGAGAAACACAGAGUGACCAGUCCUAGGCCAGCGAUUCUCCCCCAGAGCCCAUCAGACCUUGUCUCCGCAAUGUGGACCUCGACCUCCUCCGCCCACAGCAGCUAGAAUGGCUCUGAGGAGGAAAUGGGGAGUGGUAAACACUCAUGUGCCUUGGGUGGGGGGAUGUCAGUGCCCCUGUAACAGAGAGCAGUACGGGCAGUCCUCAGGAGACUGAAAAAUAAGCUGGUCAUAUGACUCUGGUACCCAACCACUGUGCAGCCGAAGGAAAUGGAAGCGGUGUGUAGCGGACACCUACACCCAUGCUCGCCACAGCGCUAGUCACAGCAGCCACGGUAUGAAAUACGAUUCUGAAAGGAUAGGACCAGGGUCCUCGACAGCCAAAGAGCCAAGACCGAGGGAAAACAGAAACUGACGUCUCAAUAUGGCACCUGUGACUGCAUGGGAAAGGCGAUGGGGAAUUGAAUCUCCUUGGGUCAAAUAGCCAAGAAUCAUGCUGCACGAAAGGGGCCUCAGCAAGCUUGCUGUGCUCAGGAUGGGAAGAGCCAGGGAGGAGUAUUGUAUGAAAUUUUGUUUGCGUUCUGACAAAUAAAGCUUGCCUAGAGAUCAGAGAGCCGAGCUAACCACUAGUUAAGCCUAGAAAGCCAGGCAUUGGUGUCGCACACCUAUAAUCCCACCCAGCACUUGGGAGGAAGAAGCAGGAAGAUCAGGGCUUCAAAGUCACUCUGGGAUACAUGAGAUUGAACUUGUCGAAAAGAGAAACCGAGCCCCAUGGUGGUGGCUCACACCUUUGGUCCUAGCACUUGGGAGGCACAAGCCUUUAAUCCCAGCGCUAGGGAGGUGGAGACAGGAAUAUAAGGAGGGAUCUAAGGCCCAUUCAGUUUGAAGAUUCAUAGAGAUAGGAGCCUCUCCCAAUUCAGUCUGAGGAUUCAUGGAGACAGGACCCCCAGCCAUUUAGUCUGAGGAUUCAUGGAGACAGGACCCCCACUCAUUCAGUCUGAGGAUUCAUAGAAACAGGAGCCCCCAUUUGGUCUGAGAUUUAGUAGAGGAAAGAGGUUUCUGGUGGCUGCAGCUCUGCUUCUCUGGUCUUUGAACCCUAA